CCUACGGGAGGCAGCAGUGAGGAAUAUUGGUCAAUGGGCGCUAGCCUGAACCAGCCAAGUAGCGUGAAGGAUGACUGCCCUAUGGGUUGUAAACUUCUUUUAUAUGGGAAUAAAGUGCAGUAUGUAUACUGCUUUGCAUGUACCUUAUGAAUAAGGAUCGGCUAACUCCGUGCCAGCAGCCGCGGUAAUACGGAGGAUUCGAGCGUUAUCCGGAUUUAUUGGGUUUAAAGGGGGCGUAGGCGGGUUGUUAAGUCAGUUGUGAAAGUUUGCGGCUCAACCGUAAAAUUGCAGUUGAUACUGGCAGCCUUGAGUACAGUAGAGGUAGGCGGAAUUCGUGGUGUAGCGGUGAAAUGCUUAGAUAUCACGAAGAACUCCGAUUGCGAAGGCAGCCUGCUGGACUGUAACUGACGCUGAUGCUCGAAAGUGUGGGUAUCAAACAGGAUUAGAUACCCGGGUAGUC
Molecule: ribosomal RNA, 460 nt
Filed under: uncultured bacterium
Lineage: Bacteria
Description: partial 16S ribosomal RNA
Rfam family: Bacterial small subunit ribosomal RNA
Source: RNAcentral